This is an RNA transcript of Oryzias melastigma (Indian medaka), 6593 nucleotides long. RefSeq lists it as uncharacterized. The transcript is spliced from 2 exons. The record is from RefSeq and is a predicted model, not a curated record. NCBI's taxonomy places the organism in Eukaryota, Metazoa, Chordata, Actinopteri, Beloniformes, Adrianichthyidae.
UUUAGUUUAUGUGUUCCACCUUAAGAAAGAAAGAGAUGUUCCACCUUAACAAAGAAAUGUCAUUGUUGAUAAAGUUUGUUCAAGUUAGUGAGGUCACUUCCUGAAAAGGUUAAGAAGAGAAGGCUAAGAGAGACACAUGGUUCAGAGGUUCUCAUCAUCCAAUGCCAUCUGCAUUUAAGAUAGACAAACAAAUGUCGUAAGUGUGAUUUAUUGUUUCAUUUCAUGCUACUUUUUAGGUAUUGUUAAUUAUUUCAAGGCAUUCUCAAUCUGUACAUUGAUUUUUUCUGUUUUCUUUGUAUUUUAGUUUUUACUCCCUGUUCACUGAAAGAGUCCAGUAAAACGACUAAACUUUACUUCGACGACUCAUCUGAUUCUUUGAAAGGAGUUAAGCUUGGUGUUAAGUCUGCGGAUUUGCAUGUCCUGACGAGAGCACUACAGUAAAAAGACAUUUCAUGGAAGCAAAAACAAGAUGGCAUCCAAGGGCUCAAAAUCAUCUGUGAGUGGAAAAUCUUCAGUGUCUUCGGCUAGCACAGUAGGGCGUGCACGAGCAAAGGCUGAAGCAGCAAAAAUAAGAGCUGAAUAUGCCACUAAACAAAAAGAAUUAAAGCUGGAAGCAGCCAAUAUGGAGUUUGAAGCAACAAAAAAAGAAGCAGAACUACAGUUGGAAAAAAUAAAACUGCAAGCAGAAAUGGAAGUAUUGAAUUUACAAUGUGAAGCUGAAGUGACUGCACGUGAGGCACAAGUUUUAGAAAUGGCUGAAGAACUACAAGUUGUUGAUGAAGCAUCUUCGACAGAGCAUCACGACAGAAUGAAACGCACAGGUGAAUAUGUCCGUUCACAAAAUACUCUUAAAGGAAGUGCUUCGACAAUACAUCUACCUCAUGCAUGUCAACCACAUAUGGACAAUGAGAAAUGCAGUUUCGUUGUUGAGAUCAAGAAGGACAAAUCUAUAAACUGUUCACAAGAAGGCGUUAAACGCGCUUUUGAAGAAAAAGAUGAAACUAAUCAACCUUCCAACACAAGAAUUGAGAUGAAAACCAAAAGAGAAGAUAUCAGAAAACCAGAAAGAAAUGAGGAUCGAAACUUUCAACCAUACUCUCCGAGGUGGUUAAAUGUGCAUGCUCAGCCUUUUCCUCCACCCCCAAGUAAGGAUCCUGCAGCUUUUCCAACACCUGCAACAGAACCCUUAGCACAGUACUUAGCGAGGAGAGAUCUCACCAACUCAGGACUGUACCAGUUUGAUGACAAACCAGAAAACUACAGAGGAUGGUAUGCAUCCUUUUGUAGUGUAACCAGCGACAUUCAGCUAAGUGCUGUACAACAACUGGACCUAAUGAUCAAAUGGCUUGGAAAAGAAUCUCGAGAAUAUGUGAAACGCAUCAGAGGAGUUUAUGCUAACAAUCCAGCCGCAGCACUAACAAAAGCAUGGGAACGACUGGAAGAGUGUUACGGGGCUCCAGAAGUUAUAGAGAGGUCACUCUUUGAGCGUCUUGAGACAUUUCCUUAUCUCAACCCGAGAGAUAACAUUAAGCUUCGUGAAUAUGGGGACUUGCUAACAGAAAUACUUGGCUUCAAGGAGGAUGGCUAUCUCAUUGGACUGUCUUAUUUAGAUACGUCUCGUGGUAUUUUGCCACUAGUGGGCAAGUUACCAUAUAACCUCCAAGAGAAAUGGCUUUCUGCUGGGUCAAGAUAUGAAGAAGACAACAACGGACAUUUCCCCCCUUCCUGGUACUUCUGCGAAUUUGUGUGCUAUGAAGCAAAGAAGCGAAAUGAUCCAAGCUUCAUAAACCAAAAAAAUGUCGCUGCCUUUUCAAAACAAGAGAGAACAACCUUCAGAAAAAACGACAGAACCUUCACAGUACAGAAGACAGACUUCUCUUUACCACAACCCAUAAAAACAACUGGUGUUGACCCAAAUGUAAUAUGCCCCUUACACAACAAACCACACUCACUUCAAAGUUGUAAAGCCUUCCGGAACGAACCAAUAGAAGAACGAAAAAUCUUUCUCAAGAAAAACGGCAUAUGUUUUAAAUGUUGUGCUUCAACUCUAUAUCUGGCCAAGGACUGUAGGACAUCUGUAAGGUGCCAGGUGUGCGACAGUACCUACCACGUUACGACCAUGCAUCCGGGAACACAACCACCAAAGGCUCUCCCACCACCUAAGUUGGACGGCGAGGAGGACGUAACCGUUAAUCCAGAUCCAACGGAGAUAAGUUCGAACUGCACUGAAGUCUGUGGCAAAGGACAGUUCAGUCGCUCAUGUGCAAAAAUAUGCCUUGCAAAAAUAUAUCCGCAAGAUGCGGUCCACAAGAUCGUAAAGGCAUAUGUAGUAAUAGACAACCAGAGCAACCGGUCAUUAGCAAGACCAGAGUUCUUUAGUUUGUUUGGAAUCGAAAGUGAGCCAUCUUCAUACCUCCUGAAGACCUGUUCAGGUUUGGAAGAAACAUCAGGAAGAAAAGCAGAAGGAUUUUUUAUUGAAUCCAUUGAUGGGAGAAUUGCUAUUCCUCUCCCACCACUCAUUGAAUGUAGCAACAUCCCAAAUAAUCGGACAGAGAUUCCAACUCCAAAUGACGUAAUCCAUCAACCACAUCUGCAACACCUUUCUAAACAUCUACCAGAGUUGGACCCAGAUGCAGAAAUUCUCCUUCUUCUGGGACGAGACGCAUUGAGGCUGCAUAAAGUUAGGCAGCAGGUGAAUGGACCACACAAUGCUCCAUUUGCUCAGCGUUUGGAUCUUGGCUGGGUAGUAAUUGGAGAAGUGUGUCUUGGAAAUAUUCACAAACCUGUCGUUAACACUUUCAAAACCACUGUUUUGGAAAACGGUCGCCACUCCAUCUUUCAACCAUGUACAAGUUACAUGCAAGUAAAAGAGGCAUUACCCAAGCUCCACCAUGUCACCAAGGUAACAGAAGGAUCGCUUGGUAAAACAGUGUUCAACAGAACAGAUCAGGACAACAAACCUGCUCCAUCGAUCGAAGAUGCAAAGUUUAUGGAAAAAAUGGAUGCUGAGGUUCACAAGAACUGCGACAACACCUGGGUGGCACCACUGCCAUUUAAAGAAUCACGCACACGCCUUCCUAACAACAAAGAGCAGGCUGUUAACAGAGUCCUUUCUCUAAAGAAAUUAUUCAAACGAAACCCGAAGAUGCAGGAACAAUAUUUCGCGUUUAUGGACAAACUUCUUCAGAAUGGACAUGCCGAAGUGGCACCGCCUCUUGAGGACAAUGAAGAAUGCUGGUUCCUUCCCACAUUUGGAGUAUAUCAUUCUAAGAAACCAAACCAGAUUAGAGUGGUAUUCGAUUCAAGUUCCCAAUACCAAGGAAUAUGCCUCAAUGAUGUUCUACUAACUGGGCCAGAUUUAAAUAACACCUUGAUUGGAGUCUUGCUUCGCUUUCGCAAGGAAAAAGUAGCUGUGUUGGCAGACAUCCAGCAGAUGUUCUACUGUUUUGAAGUUAGAGAGAGUCAUCGCAACUUCCUCAGAUUCCUGUGGUACAAAGAAAAUGACAUCAACAAAGAGAUUGUUGAGUACCGGAUGAAAGUCCACGUGUUUGGCAAUAGUCCCUCGCCCGCUGUUGCCACCUACGGGCUGAGAAGAGCCAUUCAAGAAGGCGCAUCAAAGUAUGGAAAUGAUACUGUUCAGUUUGUUGAAAGACAUUUCUACGUUGAUGAUGGCCUUGUCUCUGUACCAACUGAAGACCAAGCAAUAGACUUGCUGAAAAGGACACAGGCCUCUCUGGCAGAAUCAAACAUUCGCCUCCACAAGUUCAUCUCCAACAGUCAAACUGUUCUAGAGGCCUUUUGCCAGGAAGACUGUGCCGUGGCAACCAAAGACUUAGACCUUACCGGAGAAACGGAUACUAUCCAGCGCAGUUUGGGCCUCCUAUGGGAGAUAUCUACAGACACCUUCACGUUUUCCGUGUCUAUGGAGUCAAAACCAUUCACUCGACGUGGUGUAUUGUCCACCGUGAACAGCAUUUUUGACCCCAUUGGACUAUUGGCACCCGUGACAGUUUGUGGAAGAGCCCUUCUCAGAGAACUCACUGCUGACCUCUCAGACUGGGACACUCCCCUCGCAGACGAAAAACAUGGCAAGUGGGACUUAUGGUGUAAAUCGCUUCAAGAUCUCAAACAGUUGCACAUACCGAGGACUUAUAUGGACAUAUCUUUAAGUAACAGCAAACAUGUUGAGCUUGCCGUCUUCUCUGAUGCUUCAACGAAAGCCAUUGGAGCUGUUGCCUAUUUAAAGGCGGUCUCAACUGAUGAUCACUCAGAGACUGGACUUAUUAUGGCCAAAGGAAGAUUAGCACCCAAAUCAGAACCUACGAUUCCACGCUUGGAACUUUGUGCAGCCGUUUUAGCUACUGAGCUGGCGGACCUCAUCCGAGACGAGAUGGAUGUAAAGCUUGACAAUGUGAACUUCUACAGUGACAGCAAAGUAGUACUUGGAUAUAUUCAUAACGAAACCAAAAGAUUCUACGUCUACGUCCAUAACAGGAUCCAGCGCAUUCGACAUUCAUCCAAACCACAGCAAUGGCACUACGUACCUUCCGAAGAAAAUCCAGCAGACCACAUUUCAAGAUUUUUACCCCCUUCCCAACUAACGCAAACAAACUGGUUCUGUGGACCAGCAUUUUUGCAAAAGACUGUGGACGAAGAAAUCCAUACAUCAGAAGGAUUUGAACUGAUACAACCAGAAAGCGACACUGAAAUCAGGCCAGAAGUCAAAACCUAUAGUACACACUUGAAGACGAACUAUCUGAAUCCAGAUCGCUUUCAGCGUUUUUCCAGCCUCCAGCCACUUCUUCGAGCUGUCGUCCGGCUGAGGCACAUAGCAACAUCCUUUAAGCACACAAGUGGAGGUGGUCCAUGCAAAGGGUGGCACUGGUGUGAGAAGCCACGUUCACCUGAGGAAAUGGACAAAGCCAUGAAUGUUAUCCUUCAGAGCGAGCAAGGUUCUGCCUUCCCAAAAGAACUUUCAGCUCUUCAUGCUCAAAAGCCUAUUUCAAAAGACAGCUGCCUUCUAAACUUUUGUCCAGUGAUUCGGAAUAAUUUGAUCUGUGUUGGUGGUCGUCUGGAUAAUUCGGACUUAGAAACUCAUGAACGACAUCCCGUGAUCCUGCCAAAGAAUGGCCACAUAGCCCUUCUGCUAACACGACACUACCAUGUGCAAGUGAAACAUCAAGGACGACACUUUACAGAAGGAGCCAUUCGAGCAGCAGGGUACUGGAUCUUGAGUGGCAAGAGGCUCAUCUGCACAGUUAUUCAUAACUGUGUAACAUGUAGGAAGCUUCGAGGCAAAGUGGAAGAACAGCGCAUGGCAGACUUGCCUGUCGAACGCCUCCAAGUCUGUCCCCCAUUUACUUAUGUGGGACUGGACGUCUUUGGUCCAUGGAUGGUUGCUUCAAGAAGGACACGUGGGGGUCAUGCUGAGAACAAAAGAUGGGCGAUUAUGUUCAGCUGCUUGAGUUCUCGAGCAGUACACAUUGAGCUCAUCGAGUCUAUGGAUUCCUCAAGUUGUAUAAAUGCACUCAGGCGUUUCUUCGCCAUGAGGGGACCAGCCAAGCAGUUGAUGUCAGACUGUGGCACCAACUUCAUUGGUGCGAGCAAAGAGCUUGGGAUGGACAAAAACUCAUUAGACUCAAAGGUUCAGAAAUACCUCGACGGAUGUGGAUGUGUUUGGAAGUUUAAUCCCCCUCAUGCUUCGCACAUGGGCGGCAGUUGGGAAAGGAUGAUUGGAGUUUCUCGGAGGAUCUUGGACUCCCUGUUGCUCCAAUCAAAAGUCCGGCUCACCCAUGAGGUACUCUCUACACUAAUGGCAGAAGUUGUUGCAAUUAUGAAUGCACGGCCUCUGAUACCAGUUUCUUCUGACCCGGACAACCCUCAAGUGCUUUCGCCAUCCAUACUUCUCACCCAAAAGUCAGGUGUUUCACCGCCUCUUGCCGACUUCUCAGAAAAGGACAUGUUCACUAAGCAGUGGAGGCAAGUACAAGCCCUGGCAAAUCAAUUCUGGACGCGAUGGCGCAAGGAAUACCUGCCUUGCCUGCAAGGCAGACAAAAGUGGACAACCCUCCGAAAGGACUUAAAGGUUGGAGACGUGGUUCUCCUCAAAGACAAAGCAGCUGAACGCAACCAUUGGCCUAUGGCCAGAAUAAAGAACACAUUUCCUGGUUCAGAUGGCCACAUCAGACAAGUUGAGGUUAAUACCAUUGAUCAAGGUCGUGUGAAGACAUUUUCUAGACCCAUUACUGAAGUUGUGUUACUUAUUCCCAAUGAUGUUUAGAUCCACUCAUUCCUUUGUGAUUUUACAUUGGUAGUGACCUUUAACAAGGUCAGGCGAGGAGUGUUAUGUUUAGUUUAUGUGUUCCACCUUAAGAAAGAAAGAGAUGUUCCACCUUAACAAAGAAAUGUCAUUGUUGAUAAAGUUUGUUCAAGUUAGUGAGGUCACUUCCUGAAAAGGUUAAGAAGAGAAGGCUAAGAGAGACACAUGGUUCAGAGGUUCUCAUCAUCCAAUGCCAUCUGCAUUUAAGAUAGACAAACAAAUGUCUUUUUACUCCCUGUUCACUGAAAGAGUCCAGUAAAACGACUAAACUUUA